AGAGAAGGAGGGAUAGAGAGAGGGAGAGGGAUAGAGAAAGAAGGAGGAGAUUUAAAGAAGAGUGAAAGAGUGAAAAAUAGUGAGAGAGCGAGAGACAGAGAGAGAGCGAGUCCUCUAGGUAUCCUCUAGCUGUCCUCUAGGUAUCCUCUAGGUAUCCUCUAGCUGUCCUCUAGGUAUCCUCUAGGUAUCCUCUAGGUAUCCUCUAGCUGUCCUCUAGGUAUCCUCUAGGUAUCCUCUAGGUAUCCUCUACUCUAGGUGUUCUCUAGGUAUCCUCUAGGUAUCCUCUAGGUGUCCUCUACUCUAGGUGUUCUCUAGGUAUCCUCUAGGUAUCCUCUAGGUGUCCUCUACUCUAGCUGUUCUCUAGCUAUCCUCUACUCUAGGUGUUCUCUAGGUAUCCUUUAGCUGUCCUCUAGGUAUCCUUUAGCUGUCCUCUAGGUAUCCUCUAGGUAUCCUCUAGGUGUCCUCUACUCUAGGUGUUCUCUAGGUAUCCUUUAGGUGUUCUCUAGGUAUCCUCUAGCUGUCCUCUAGGUAUCCUCUAGCUGUCCUCUAGGUAUCCUCUAGCUGUCCUCUAGGUAUCCUCUAGGUAUCCUCUAGGUAUCCUCUAGCUGUCCUCUAGGUGUCCUCUAGCUAUCCUCUAGGUACUUUCCCCAGCCCAGCUCUCUUUCAUCAGUGCAGAUCAAGGAAAGGAGUUGAAUCAGAAGAAGAGACAAAACGGGUGUGUCUCAAAUGUAACCCUUUUCACUUCAUAGUGCCCUACUUUUGACCCCCGAACUUUAACCUUGGUCAAAAGUUGUGCACUAUGAAUAAGGUCCCAUUUGGAACGCAGACAAUACUGUAUGUCUAGGCUAUUGACACGCACCUAGAGGGGGAUUGACAUAUAGAUAAUUGAAGAGGUUCAUCCACAGGAGGAUAAAACAGAGUGGUACAGGAGGAUAAAACAGAGCGGUACAGGAGGAUAAAACAGAGCGGUACAGGAGGAUAAAACAGAGCGGUACAGGGGGAUAAAACAGAGCGGUACAGGAGGAUAAAACAGAGCGGUACAGGAGGAUAAAACAGAGCGGUACAGGAGGAUAAAACAAGGGUACAGGAGGAUAAAACAGAGCGGUACAGGAGGAUAAAACAGCGGUAGAGGAGGAUAAAACAGAGCAGUACAGGAGGAUAAAACAGAGCGGUACAGGAGGAUAAAACAGAGCAGUACAGGAGGAUAAAACAAGGGUACAGGAGGAUAAAACAGAGCUGUACAGGAGGAAAGAGAAGAACGGGGGAUUUUACACAGAAAGAAAGAGGAUGAAGAGAGGACAGGAAUUCAGUUUCGAAGGUUUCUCAUAACACAACUGAAAAGGGAAGAAGUUAUUUACUCCACUUCAAAUAUGAACCAGUUUCCUUCCAAUGCAUGAUCACAUGGGGGUGUGGCCCAAUUGUCACACUAUUCACUAUAUAGUGCACUCAUUUUGAACAGGGCCCAUUUGGGCUCUGGUCAAAAGUAGUGUACUAUAUAGGGAAUGGGGUGCCAUUUCGGACUCACCCGUACUGUAUAGACACCUGAAACAUAUGUGCAGUUAAGUACGUCACAGGCACUUUUGACAG
RNAcentral lists this long non-coding RNA (1587 nucleotides) under Salmo salar (Atlantic salmon). Its description in RNAcentral is "lncRNA (ENSSSAG00000088778.1)". Lineage: Eukaryota; Metazoa; Chordata; Actinopteri; Salmoniformes; Salmonidae. The record is from RNAcentral.